AGCAGCCGCGGUAAUUCCAGCUCCAAUAGCGUAUAUUAAAGUUGUUGCAGUUAAAAAGCUCGUAGUUGAAUUUCGGGGUUAGUAGGUUGGUCAUGCCUCUGGUAUGUACUGGUCUCACUGAUUCCUCCUUCCUGAUGAACCUUAAUGCCAUUUAUUUGGUGUUUUGGGGAAUUUGGACUGUUACUUUGAAAAAUUAGAGUGUUUAAAGUAAGCUAACGCUUGAAUACAUUAGCAUGGAAUAAUGAAAUAGGACGUUCGAUCCUAUUUUGUUGGUUUCUAGGAUUGACGUAAUGAUUAAUAGGGAUAGUUGGGGGCAUUAGUAUUCAAUUGUCAGAGGUGAAAUUCUUGGAUUUAUUGAAGACUAACUACUGCGAAAGCAUUUGCCAAGGAUGUUUUCAUUAAUCAAGAACGAAAGUUAGGGGAUCGAAGACGAUCAGAUACCGUCGUAGUCUUAACCAUAAACUAUGCCGACUAGGGAUCGGAUGAUGUUAAUUUUUAAUGACUCAUUCGGCGCCUUACG
Molecule: unclassified non-coding RNA, 520 nt
Filed under: uncultured Glomus
Lineage: Eukaryota; Fungi; Glomeromycota; Glomeromycetes; Glomerales; Glomeraceae
Description: SSU rRNA
Rfam family: Eukaryotic small subunit ribosomal RNA
Source: RNAcentral